GCCGGCUUAGCUCAGUUGGUAGAGCAUCUGAUUUGUAAUCAGAGGGUCAGGGGUUCGAAUCCUCUAGCCGGCACCA
This 76-nucleotide transfer RNA is filed under the name Pseudomonadota bacterium. RNAcentral's name for it is "Proteobacteria bacterium (cold seep metagenome) tRNA-Thr". It matches the Rfam family "tRNA". Rfam says of the family: Transfer RNA (tRNA) molecules are approximately 80 nucleotides in length. Their secondary structure includes four short double-helical elements and three loops (D, anti-codon, and T loops). Lineage: Bacteria; Pseudomonadati; Pseudomonadota. The record is from RNAcentral.